This 73-nucleotide transfer RNA is filed under the name Cotesia glomerata. RNAcentral describes it as "tRNA-Thr". The stretch from base 5 to 69 matches the Rfam family "tRNA". Rfam says of the family: Transfer RNA (tRNA) molecules are approximately 80 nucleotides in length. Their secondary structure includes four short double-helical elements and three loops (D, anti-codon, and T loops). Lineage: Eukaryota; Metazoa; Arthropoda; Insecta; Hymenoptera; Braconidae. The record is from RNAcentral.
GUCUCGGAUAGCUUAACUGGAAGAGCCCUUGGCGCGUAACCAAUAGUUCCGGGUUCGAUUCCCGGCCCGGUCU